RNAcentral lists this long non-coding RNA (216 nucleotides) under Populus trichocarpa (black cottonwood). RNAcentral's name for it is "long non-coding RNA (PTRI_LNC000299)". Lineage: Eukaryota; Viridiplantae; Streptophyta; Magnoliopsida; Malpighiales; Salicaceae. The record is from RNAcentral.
UUUUAUUGGUUUUCAAUUUCAUUCUUUAAUUCAAAUUAAUGAUAUUAAGUUUUUCGAUCUGGUCCUCAUUGUUUUGAUUUUUUUUUGCCCUUUUGUAAAAGUUAUUAUUCUUUUUAUCUUCACCCUACAAUUAAAACAUUGUUUUUAUUUUUUAUGUGAAUUAUGGUCCUCUUUUUUUUGACCUUUUUUUUUUGCUUUCGCUAAAUUGGUUUUUAU